This 253-nucleotide ribosomal RNA is filed under the name uncultured bacterium. RNAcentral's name for it is "partial 16S ribosomal RNA". It matches the Rfam family "Bacterial small subunit ribosomal RNA", at positions 524 to 776 of the family's 1533-position model. The record is from RNAcentral.
GACGAACCGUGCGAACGUUGUUCGGAAUCACUGGGCUUAAAGGGCGCGUAGGCGGGCCUCCAAGUCCGGGGUGAAAUCCUCCAGCCUAACUGGAGAAGAGCCUCGGAGACUGGGGGCCUCGAGGGAGGUAGGGGCGUGCGGAACUAUGGGUGGAGCGGUGAAAUGCAUUGAUAUCCAUAGGAACUCCGGUGGCGAAGGCGGCACGCUGGACCUCUUCUGACGCUGAGGCGCGAAAGCCAGGGGAGCAAACAGG